Molecule: long non-coding RNA, 472 nt
Organism: Dermochelys coriacea (leatherback sea turtle)
Lineage: Eukaryota; Metazoa; Chordata; Testudines; Dermochelyidae
Exons: 3
Source: RefSeq, a predicted model, not a curated record
UUCAGAGGUGCAUACUUUCAACACUACUUUAUAGUGCAGAAUGCUGGGGGAUGAGAAAGUAUGACAUGUCCAAACUGUCUACAUUCCAUACAACCUGCCUCAGAAAAAUCCUCCAUAUCUUUUGUCCCAGAACAAUUUCAAACCAAAAUCUAUUGACACUGUGCAGCCAAGAGGAUCUGAGCACCAUCAUUGCCAGGAGGCGUUGGAGAUGUAUCUGUCAUGUGCUUUGGAUGGAAACUCAUUCCAUCACCAGAGUAGCAAUAAGAUGGACACCUGAAGGCAAGCGAAAACAAGGCCGCCCAAAAACAACAUGGUGUAGAGCUGUGGAAGCCGAGCUGAAAAACCUGGGGCACAGCUGGGGAACCAUUGAAAGACUUGCCAGAAACAGACAGGAGCGGAGGAGCUUCGUCACUGCUCUAAACGCCAGAGGUGUAAUAGGAACAUUAUGAUGAAGAAGAGGAUAAAUAACAAU